CCCAGGUUCCGCCCGGGCCCGCGAGCUGCGGCCUCCGGGACCCGGCGCCCGCCGCCGCUCAGCCGGGACGCGACCCCGCAGCCACGCGCUGCCCUUGGCGCUAUGGACCCGGCGCUGGCCGCGCAGAUGGGCGAGACGGUGGCGGAGAAGAUGCUCCAGUACCGGCGAGACAAGUCAGGAUGGAAAAUUUGCCGGGAAGCCAAUGGAGUCUCGGUUUCCUGGAGGCCAUCUAUGGAGUUUCCAGGGAACCUGUACCGGGGAGAAGGCAUCGUGAAUGGGACGCCAGAGAAGGUGUGGGGCUGCGUUAAGCCACUUGCUGGGACCCUGAGAGACCAGUGGGAUGAGAAUGUGAGCAGCUUUGAAAUUGUCGAAAGCAUCACUGAUACGCUGUGUGUCAGCAGAACCGCCACCCCCUCGGCCGCCAUGAAGCUCAUUUCCCCCAGAGACUUCGUGGACUUGGUGUUGGUCAAGAAAUACGAGGAUGGGGCUCUCAGCUCCAACGGUGAGUGCCGGCCGGCCGCCCCGGGAGCACGUCCUGCGUCCCCUGUGCGCGGGCCUCUCCUCGUCGCCUUGGGUGGGAUCGUGUGCCACGGAGGGCCGAGGGGGAGGGCCCACAUGCUAGUAAUCUCAUAUAUAUGUAUGUUUUCCUUUAAUAAAUGUUUAUUCGAGAGAGAGAGACAGAGUGCAAGCAGGGGAGGGGCAGAGAGAGGGGGAGACACAGGAUCCGAAGCAGCUCCAGGCUCCGAGCCGUCAGCACAGAGCCCGACGCGGGGCUGGAACCCACAAACCGUGAGAUCACGACCUGAGCCGAAGGCGGACGCUUAACCGGCUGAGCCCCCCCAGGCGCCCCGUAAUUUUAUGUCUAAGUCUCAGAUGUGGCCGGCGCCCCGCUGGCCGCCAAGGCUCAUCGUCCACACCCGACACAUGCUGCCUGGUUUGACUGCACGGAGCCUCCGUGUACAACGAGUCGCUGGGCCCGUGGGGCCGCGUCCCUGAGGGGCUGUGGGCCGUCCCCUCCUUCCCAGCGGGGAACAGAGUCCUGCCACGGCGUAUUUCACCCGGGGAACCCGCAGCCCCUGCUGUUCCUCCGGAUCCCGGCGGGGGGGGGUGGCGCGUGGCGGGCUUGAGGGGGGGGCCUCUCCUACCACCGUGCCUCAGGCCGUGCAGUGUUCUUUUCUCUAAGAAGCUGGCAGGCUUGGGGAGGCUGUGCACGUGUGUGGACGCCCAUGAGCGUGUGUGCACGUGUGUGUGUGUGUGUGUGGUUGUAAAGGACACGGGUUGGGGGGAUGCUCAGGGGCAGGUCACGGGGCGCCCGUGCUGACUCCUCGGGCCCCAGAUGGUGGGGUCUGCGGGCAGGAGGGGCCACGGUGCCCCGACUGUCUGAGGUCGCAGCUCACUGACCGCUUUGUGCUGUCUUCCAGCUGUCAACGUGGAACAUCCGUCAUGCCCCCCGAGGCCGGGGUACGUGAGAGGAUUCAACCACCCUUGUGGUUGCUUCUGUGAACCUCUGCCCGGGGAGCCCGACCGGACCCACCUGGUCACAUUCUUCCAGACUGACCUCAGCGGGUAC
Molecule: RNA transcript, 1570 nt
Organism: Prionailurus viverrinus (fishing cat)
Lineage: Eukaryota; Metazoa; Chordata; Mammalia; Carnivora; Felidae
Gene: STARD5
Gene name: StAR related lipid transfer domain containing 5
Exons: 5
Source: RefSeq, a predicted model, not a curated record